RNAcentral lists this ribosomal RNA (520 nucleotides) under uncultured Glomus. RNAcentral describes it as "SSU rRNA". It matches the Rfam family "Eukaryotic small subunit ribosomal RNA", at positions 569 to 1088 of the family's 1831-position model. Lineage: Eukaryota; Fungi; Glomeromycota; Glomeromycetes; Glomerales; Glomeraceae. The record is from RNAcentral.
AGCAGCCGCGGUAAUUCCAGCUCCAAUAGCGUAUAUUAAAGUUGUUGCAGUUAAAAAGCUCGUAGUUGAAUUUCGGGAUCAAUGCGUCGGUCGUGCUUUCGGGUACGUACUGGUGUCAUUGGUUUCUCCUUUCUGACGAGCCGUGAUGUCAUUAAUUUGGUGUUACGGGUAGUUAGGACUGUUACUUUGAAAAAAUUAGAGUGUUUAAAGCAGGCAUUAGCUUGAAUACAUUAGCAUGGAAUAAUGAAAUAGGACGUUCGAUCCUAUUUUGUUGGUUUCUAGGAUCAACGUAAUGAUUAAUAGGGAUAGUUGGGGGCAUUAGUAUUCAAUUGUCAGAGGUGAAAUUCUUGGAUUUAUUGAAGACUAACUACUGCGAAAGCAUUUGCCAAGGAUGUUUUCAUUAAUCAAGAACGAAAGUUAGGGGAUCGAAGACGAUCAGAUACCGUCGUAGUCUUAACCAUAAACUAUGCCGACUAGGGAUCGGAUGAUGUUAAUUUUUUCAAUGACUCAUUCGGCGCCU